GACAGAGGGUGCAAACGUUGUUCGGAAUUACUGGGCGUAAAGCGCGUGUAGGCUGCUUGGAAAGUCGGAUGUGAAAGCCCUGGGCUCAACCCAGGAAGUGCAUUCGAAACUUCCGAGCUCGAGUUCUGGAGAGGAUAGCGGAAUUCUCGGUGUAGAGGUGAAAUUCGUAGAUAUCGAGAGGAACACCGGUGGCGAAGGCGGCUAUCUGGACAGAAACUGACGCUGAGACGCGAAAGCGUGGGGAGCAAACAGG
This 253-nucleotide ribosomal RNA is filed under the name Polyangiaceae bacterium. RNAcentral's name for it is "partial 16S ribosomal RNA". It matches the Rfam family "Bacterial small subunit ribosomal RNA", at positions 524 to 776 of the family's 1533-position model. Lineage: Bacteria; Pseudomonadati; Myxococcota; Polyangiales; Polyangiaceae. The record is from RNAcentral. RNAcentral also lists the same sequence under 2 other names.